Non-coding RNA from Rhinolophus ferrumequinum (greater horseshoe bat), 491 nucleotides. NCBI's taxonomy places the organism in Eukaryota, Metazoa, Chordata, Mammalia, Chiroptera, Rhinolophidae. The record is from the annotation of a RefSeq genome assembly.
UCACUGUUUCCUCCACAGUUCCUCAUGCUAAGAAUCAAGAACAUUAUUUAGGGGACACUCUGGAGAUGAAGUCUUCUCCAGCCUUAGUGACUGUGGUACUCUUAGUGCUUGGACGAGCCCAUGGAGACUCAGUGUCCCAGAUGGAAGGCCCAGUGACUCUCUCAGAAGGGAGUUCCCUGAAUGUGAGCUGCUCUUAUGAAGCCUCAGGGAACCCCACUCUCUUCUGGUAUGUUCAGUACCCCAGAGAAGGUCCACAGCUCCUUCUGAAAGCCUUCAUCAAUGGUGAGAAGGGACGCAACAAAGGUUUUGAAGCCACCUACCACAAAGAAUCAAAAUCAUUCCACCUGGAGAAAGCCUCUGUCCACGAGUCAGAUUCGGCUAUGUACUACUGUGCUCUGAGUGACACAGUGACAGAAACUGCAGGGGGAGCUGCGCACAAACUGAGCAGCACUAGAGCCUGGCUGCUGAGUGUCUCUGACUAUCUCACCUAG